This 487-nucleotide ribosomal RNA is filed under the name uncultured bacterium. RNAcentral describes it as "partial 16S ribosomal RNA". It matches the Rfam family "Bacterial small subunit ribosomal RNA", at positions 30 to 504 of the family's 1533-position model. The record is from RNAcentral.
AUUGAACGCUGGCGGCAGGCCUAACACAUGCAAGUCGAACGGUAACAGGAAGAAGCUUGCUUCUUUGCUGACGAGUGGCGGACGGGUGAGUAAUGUCUGGGAAACUGCCUGAUGGAGGGGGAUAACUACUGGAAACGGUAGCUAAUACCGCAUAACGUCGCAAGACCAAAGAGGGGGACCUUCGGGCCUCUUGCCAUCGGAUGUGCCCAGAUGGGAUUAGCUAGUAGGUGGGGUAACGGCUCACCUAGGCGACGAUCCCUAGCUGGUCUGAGAGGAUGACCAGCCACACUGGAACUGCGCCACGGUCCAGACUCCUACGGGAGGCAGCAGUGGGGAAUAUUGCACAAUGGGCGCAAGCCUGAUGCAGCCAUGCCGCGUGUAUGAAGAAGGCCUUCGGGUUGUAAAGUACUUUCAGCGGGGAGGAAGGGAGUAAAGUUAAUACCUUUGCUCAUUGACGUUACCCGCAGAAGCAGCACCGGCUAACUCC